GCGCACUCCCGGAAGCGCCUGCGCGCCCGCGCCCCCGGCCCGGAGAGGCGCUGCUGCCCGCAGAGGCGUUGCCGCCGCAGCCGCCAAAGCCACCACCGCCACCUCCGCCCCGGAGAUGCCGUGUCACCAUGUCCGCAGCAGAUGGCGCCUUUGUUCCACCUGACUUUUCGUCUCUCCUAGGAUGCUGAUCCUCCUGGCUUCCAGACCGACCUGGGACUUGGCAGUCCUGCUCAGCGAUGACCUUUCUGCAAAGACCCUCACUUACCCCGCUCCUUCCUAGCUUCCCUGAAAUAAAGUCAAGCUGCUUUUGUUGGA
Long non-coding RNA from Lemur catta (Ring-tailed lemur), 315 nucleotides. RefSeq lists it as uncharacterized. The record is from RefSeq and is a predicted model, not a curated record. NCBI's taxonomy places the organism in Eukaryota, Metazoa, Chordata, Mammalia, Primates, Lemuridae. The transcript has 2 exons.